GGGGCUGUGGCUGAGUGGCAGAGCUUCUGCUCGACAUGCAGAGGGCCUCAGGUUCAAUCCCAGUGGCGCAUCA
Molecule: transfer RNA, 73 nt
Filed under: Sphaerodactylus townsendi
Lineage: Eukaryota; Metazoa; Chordata; Lepidosauria; Squamata; Sphaerodactylidae
Description: tRNA-Val
Source: RNAcentral